GCUUGACUCAAGUUCAACUCAAAUUGAAGAUAUACAAGAAACGGCGAGAGCGGAACCACUUUGCAAAAAAUUUGUCCACUUGGGGUAAUCCCGCUGCCCAUCUUUUAAGUAUCGUCCUUUUCAGUUCGGCACAACCGCUUCUAAUCAUACCACUCACAACUGUAAACAUACAUAUAAGCAGGAUGCUCAGGUCUAUCACAUCAGCCGUGUCAAAGCACUUACCCCACUAGCAUUUAUGCCUUCAGGACGCCCGCCGUUUCCUCCGGACUCCCCUCGAAUUGAUCCUCCACCGCCUGCAGUCCAUCUGCGGAAAUUUUCCUGUGACUCCUUGAGAUCGACCUGCAAGGAUUCGUUCUUUUUUUUUUUUUUUGGCGUGAGAUUUAUCGCUGUAAGCGAGAAGUUUGUUCAUCUCUUCCAACUCUGAAAUUUUAUCCUGCAAUUUCCCCUG
This 448-nucleotide small RNA is filed under the name Histoplasma capsulatum. RNAcentral's name for it is "hypothetical RNA". Lineage: Eukaryota; Fungi; Ascomycota; Eurotiomycetes; Onygenales; Ajellomycetaceae. The record is from RNAcentral.